GAUUAUUGAGUAUUCCAGUCCAUGAACAUAGUUUAUGUCCUACCCACUUAGAUCAUCUUCAAUGCCUUUCAUCAGGAUUAUUUGUAGUUGUCAACAUGCUGUAGUACUUUGAAUGAGAUAUGUCCCCCAGAGGCUCAGGAAAUCUGUAACUUGUGAGCAACAGGAGACAGAACAGAGCAGAGGACUGUCCAUCUCUGGUGAUGAGUGAGCCAAGGGUCUGAGAAUUUCCCAUUUCAGAGGCCACGUGCAGAAGGACAUUUCUAUUGAGCAAGGAGUUCUCUGAAUGAAGACAGCACAUGGAGAACUGAGUGCUCGUGACACCAGCUAAGUGGCUGAGCCCCGAGUCCACCACUCACUGCUAUGCUCCAGAUCUACCCUGUGGAAUCCCAUCGCAGACAUGAAUUAUGGGGAGACAUGUCCUUUGUCAUAUCCCUAAUUCAGAAAAAAAAAACAAGCUUUUUCCUGUUCUCUGCCAUUUCCUGCCAUGCGUAAUAUAGUAAAUUAAUUAGUGGAUCUGGAGGCAUUUUGCUAAUACAA
Mastomys coucha (southern multimammate mouse) is the source of this 537-nucleotide long non-coding RNA. RefSeq lists it as uncharacterized. NCBI's taxonomy places the organism in Eukaryota, Metazoa, Chordata, Mammalia, Rodentia, Muridae. The record is from RefSeq and is a predicted model, not a curated record. The transcript is spliced from 2 exons.